This 401-nucleotide ribosomal RNA is filed under the name uncultured bacterium. RNAcentral describes it as "partial 16S ribosomal RNA". It matches the Rfam family "Bacterial small subunit ribosomal RNA", at positions 360 to 773 of the family's 1533-position model. The record is from RNAcentral.
AAUCUUGCGCAAUGGGGGAAAGCCUGACGCAGCGACGCCGCGGGUGGGAAGAAGGCCUNCGGGUUNUNAACCACUUUCAGGAGGGNCGAAGCGAAAGUGACGGUACCUCCAGAAGAAGCCCCGGCCAACUACGUGCCAGCAGCCGCGGUAAUACGUAGGGGGCGAGCGUUGUCCGGAAUUAUUGGGCGUAAAGAGCUCGUAGGCGGUCCUUUAAGUUUGAGGUGAAAUCUCAGGGCUCCAUCCUGAAAUUGCUUUCGAUACUGGCGGACUUGAGGCAGGUAGGGGAGAACGGAAUUCCUGGUGUAGCGGUGAAAUGCGCAGAUAUCAGGAGGAACACCGGUGGCGACGGCGGUUCUCUGGGCCUGUUCUGACGCUGAGGAGCGAAAGCGUGGGGAGCAAAC